GUGACCACAACCCAUGACUGCGAUAAGAAAGAAGAAGAGAAAUUUUUCCCUUUUUUUUUAUUCCUUUCUUUUUUUUUCUUUCUUUCUUUCUUUGCUAUUUAUUUUUCCUUUCUUUGCUUUUCCUCUUUUCCCACCCAUCCACACACACACACAUGGAAAGAGAGAGGAAGAGAGAGGGUCUCUCCUCUAGUCUUCUUCUCCUUCUUUCCUUCUUCUUCGUCCACCCAAACAACACACACGCACACAAUAGGGAAGAGGGGGAAGCAAGAAAGAAAGAGAGAGAGAAGGAAAGAGAGCACACGAGAGAGAGGGAGAGUGAGAGAGAGAGUGUGUGUGGGAG
This 340-nucleotide long non-coding RNA is filed under the name Elaeis guineensis (African oil palm). RNAcentral's name for it is "long non-coding RNA (EGUI_LNC056512)". Lineage: Eukaryota; Viridiplantae; Streptophyta; Magnoliopsida; Arecales; Arecaceae. The record is from RNAcentral.